GAAAGCGAUGCUAAUACCGGAUGACAUCUAAUGAACUUUGGUUCAUAAGAUCAAGGGGGGCCUCUAUAUAUAAGCUUCCGUUUGAAGAUGAGCCCGCGUACCAUUAGCUUGUUGGUAGGGUAAUGGCCUACCAAGGCAACGAUGGUUAGCUGGUCUGAGAGGAUGAUCAGCCACACUGGAACUGACACACGGUCCAGACUCCUACGGGAGGCAGCAGUGAGGAAUUUUGCGCAAUGGGGGAAACCCUGACGCAGCAACGCCGCGUGAGUGAUGAAGGCUUUCGGGUCGUAAAGCUCUGUCAAGUGGGAAGAAAAUGCGAAAUGUCAAUACCAUUUUGCACUGACGGUACCACUGAAGGAAGCACCGGCUAACUCCGUGCCAGCAGCCGCGGUAAUACGGGGGGUGCAAGCGUUAUUCGGAAUUAUUGGGCGUAAAGAGCGCGUAGGCGGUCUCUUAAGUCAGAUGUGAAAGCCCGGGGCUUAACCCCGGAAGUGCAUUUGAAACUAAGGGACUUGAGUAUGGGAGAGGGAAGUGGAAUUCCUGGUGUAGAGGUGAAAUUCGUAGAUAUCAGGAGGAACACCGGUG
This 585-nucleotide ribosomal RNA is filed under the name uncultured bacterium. RNAcentral's name for it is "bacterial SSU rRNA". It matches the Rfam family "Bacterial small subunit ribosomal RNA", at positions 153 to 714 of the family's 1533-position model. The record is from RNAcentral.